RNAcentral lists this transfer RNA (61 nucleotides) under Populicerus populi. Its description in RNAcentral is "tRNA-Asp". It matches the Rfam family "tRNA". Rfam says of the family: Transfer RNA (tRNA) molecules are approximately 80 nucleotides in length. Their secondary structure includes four short double-helical elements and three loops (D, anti-codon, and T loops). Lineage: Eukaryota; Metazoa; Arthropoda; Insecta; Hemiptera; Cicadellidae. The record is from RNAcentral.
AAAGAUUUAGUUUAAUAAAACAUUAGCUUGUCAAGUUAAAAUUACUUUAAAGUAAUCUUUU